UUGUAGGAAGGCGCUGUUAUUUCCUGUUCGCUUAGCUGGUUGUUGUUCAGUUUGGAGUGUGAGGCUGAAAAGGGAGAGAUUGGGAAAGCAAAGGCUGUUUAGAAAUUUCAAGUGCCUUCAUGUUCUCAGUGCUUAUAAAGGAAUAAGCUGGAUACUGAAGGCGAAGCUGUCAUGUUUGAUUUUUACCUCGUGGUUUGUAACACGUCAGUUCCUGGUGAGACGUAGUCUGCAUCCGGCUUUUGUUUGAUGCCUUUGCAAACUGCUGAACAUCACAAGAAGGAAAACAAGGGAAAAUAUCCUCUCUCUGGGACCCAUUCCCAUGUUUCUCAUGAACCCAAAGUUACUCUUCCUGAAAUAAAAUGUCUAUAAAAUGAAAACUGAGGGAAUAAAGAAUACGUUGGGCUUUAUGCCAAAGUAACCAGGAGCUUUAUAUUGCCCAGAUGUGUAUAGUCGGAUACCAAAGGAUGCAGAUGACUUACUACCAAGGGAGAAUGGCAAGUUUAAUCUUCAGCUAUGACAAUGAUUUGUAAUCUGGAAUUCUUAAAAAUCAUCUUUCAUCAGUGAAUCAACAUGUGAAGUCGAAAUAAUCAGACUGCUUCAUUUAAAGUUUGAACAAUAUGAAAAUUAAGAUACAGUGCAUACCGGGCAGGAAUCACAUUCGCUGGAGGAAUAUCAUGAAUCAAGAUAAAAUCCUGACGUUCCUGUUCCACAUCGAUAAUUUUUCACUCCCCUGAGCACACAAUGCACACUUGUAAACAACAUAAAGCAGCGUAUGGUGAUAAAUUUCAAAGGAACAGACCCCAGUGAGGACAGAGGUGUUUUCAACCCAAUGCCUGCCAUAAAAACUAAAGC
Oxyura jamaicensis (ruddy duck) is the source of this 852-nucleotide long non-coding RNA. RefSeq lists it as uncharacterized. The transcript has 5 exons. The record is from RefSeq and is a predicted model, not a curated record. NCBI's taxonomy places the organism in Eukaryota, Metazoa, Chordata, Aves, Anseriformes, Anatidae.